UUUGAACGCACCUUGCGCUCCUUGGUAUUCCGAGGAGCAUGCCUGUUGAGUGUCAUUAGUAUAUCAAUCAACCUCCUCUUUUUGAGUGGUUGGAUGUGGGGGUUUGCUGGCCUUGUAAAGGGUUCAGCUCUCCUGAAAUGCAUUAGCAGAACAAACCUGUCCAUUGGUGUGAUAACUAUCUACGCUAUUGAAUGUAAGGGGCAGUUCAGCCCUCUAAUGGUCCUCGGACAAUUCAUCAUUAAUGUGACCUCAAAUCAGGUAGGACUACCCGCUGAACUUAAGCAUAUCAAUAAGCGGAGG
RNAcentral lists this ribosomal RNA (300 nucleotides) under uncultured Cortinarius. RNAcentral's name for it is "eukaryotic LSU rRNA". The stretch from base 245 to 300 matches the Rfam family "Eukaryotic large subunit ribosomal RNA", at positions 1 to 56 of the family's 3401-position model. Lineage: Eukaryota; Fungi; Basidiomycota; Agaricomycetes; Agaricales; Cortinariaceae. The record is from RNAcentral.